This 495-nucleotide ribosomal RNA is filed under the name uncultured bacterium. Its description in RNAcentral is "partial 16S ribosomal RNA". It matches the Rfam family "Bacterial small subunit ribosomal RNA", at positions 28 to 507 of the family's 1533-position model. The record is from RNAcentral.
GACGAACGCUGGCGGCGUGCCUAAUACAUGCAAGUAGAACGCUGAAGGAGGAGCUUGCUUCUCCGGAUGAGUUGCGAACGGGUGAGUAACGCGUAGGUAACCUGCCUGGUAGCGGGGGAUAACUAUUGGAAACGAUAGCUAAUACCGCAUAACAGUAGAUGUUGCAUGACAUUUGCUUAAAAGGUGCAAUUGCAUCACUACCAGAUGGACCUGCGUUGUAUUAGCUAGUUGGUGAGGUAACGGCUCACCAAGGCGACGAUACAUAGCCGACCUGAGAGGGUGAUCGGCCACACUGGGACUGAGACACGGCCCAGACUCCUACGGGAGGCAGCAGUAGGGAAUCUUCGGCAAUGGACGGAAGUCUGACCGAGCAACGCCGCGUGAGCGAAGAAGGUUUUCGGAUCGUAAAGCUCGGUUGUAAGAGAAGAACGAGUGUGAGAGUGGAAAGUUCACACUGUGACGGUAUCUUACCAGAAAGGGACGGCUAACUACGUG